UGGGGAAUAUUGCACAAUGGGCGCAAGCCUGAUGCAGCCAUGCCGCGUGUAUGAAGAAGGCCUUCGGGUUGUAAAGUACUUUCAGCGGGGAGGAAGGCAGUCGUGUUAAUAGCACGGUUUGAUUGACGUUACCCGCAGAA
This 140-nucleotide ribosomal RNA is filed under the name uncultured Tatumella sp. Its description in RNAcentral is "partial 16S ribosomal RNA". It matches the Rfam family "Bacterial small subunit ribosomal RNA", at positions 355 to 486 of the family's 1533-position model. Lineage: Bacteria; Pseudomonadati; Pseudomonadota; Gammaproteobacteria; Enterobacterales; Erwiniaceae. The record is from RNAcentral.